UGAAGGACAUGGAUGCCUGCCAAUGCAUUUUAUACAUAGCACACAUAGUACAGCUGAGAAUUAGGGGUAGGGGGCCUUUGCUCCACCACCACAGCCCAACUCCUCCAUCUGCCUGCCUAGCGCUGCCUAGGGCUGCCUGUCUCUGGCUUCGCCUCCACAUAGCCAGCUCUCUGACAGCCCUCUACCAAGCUCCUCCCCACCCUAUCCCCCUGCUACCACUUCUCUCUGCUUUGCUUUGCUUUGCUUUCCUCUUUUUCUUUAAUGACAGGAACACAGAGUGUGAAAGCUCACUGUAUUUCUUAGGGAUGUCAAAGCAAUGGGAGAUCACGAAGCUUUUACAAUCGUUGAGGGGAAGACAUAUUUUCUCCCGGUGUGUAAUUUAGUUCCUGUUCAGAAAGGAGAGGAAAGAACCCAGAAGAGGUCACAAGUCUCACUGCGGUAAUAAUUAUUUGAGGAAAGCAACACUGAAGCAUACAAGAGCGCAAAAGCUGUUCCGGACAACUGUGUGAUCACGCUCUCUGUAGCCGAUUUGAGUAAGACCUUUAAAUCGGUCAACAUUCACAAGGCCACAGGGCGAGACGGAUUACCAGGACGUGUACUCCGAGCAUGCGCUGACCAACGGGUACAUGGUGGAACUCUGAGGGAGAGGAGAGAUCUGGGAUGGGCCCUCUCCAAAGGAACCUGUCUACUCCUUCUGAUUCCUCUUGGCUCCUGGGGACGUCUCAGCCUCCAGCAUGUCUCUCCCAGGAAGCCAUAACUCUCUUUUUCAGGAAGUGAGCUGUGCAUGGAGUGCUCUCUGCAUCUGUCUGGGAGAGAAAAAGGGGAACAAGAGGUCAGACAGGCCUGGGACCACUUCUAACAUGCAUUAUGGAUGACGGCUAGCAUGUGCUUGAAUAUUUACAUUUGUCUAAAGGUGAUGCAAAUACUAAGUUGACUGAGAGAGUGCUAUGUUAGUCUGACAACAAAGGUUCCCUCACAAACAGUUAGGUAUUGUGCCAAUCUUGAACAUAAAAAAACCCAUGAUUGGCACACCUUAGUUAAUCAUUUGCAUGGAACCAAAAUGAUGUAAUUGUAAGUGUAUUCAUACUAUGACUUACAAACACCAGAAUGCUUUAUCCUUCACUGUACUAUUAAAGCGUUCUGCUUUUUAACCAGA
This is a long non-coding RNA of Oncorhynchus gorbuscha (pink salmon), 1156 nucleotides long. RefSeq lists it as uncharacterized. The transcript has 2 exons. The record is from RefSeq and is a predicted model, not a curated record. NCBI's taxonomy places the organism in Eukaryota, Metazoa, Chordata, Actinopteri, Salmoniformes, Salmonidae.